Molecule: long non-coding RNA, 899 nt
Organism: Eurytemora carolleeae
Lineage: Eukaryota; Metazoa; Arthropoda; Copepoda; Calanoida; Temoridae
Exons: 2
Source: RefSeq, a predicted model, not a curated record
UAUUUUGUUUCAUAUUUCUCUCCAGUACAGGAACGGAAGGGAGGAGGAAGGGUGCCCCUGAAAGAAAUUCCCAGAUGUGCGACACAUUUUUAGGAUGCAUUAGGAUCUUAUCUUGUAUGGAAGAUAAAACAUGUGGGAGCUAGCUGCAGUAGUUCUGAUGAUUCAGCAUGAACAUGUGAGAUGGCCAACUGAUUCCUCUGAUGCAACUUUGCAAACUAUCCUGACAUGAACUGGAAGCAUGAACACGAGGAUCAGGAUUUACAGGGUGUCCCACAAAACAUGGCAGUAGUAAAAAUAUUUGAAGGUCGUGUUUUAUAUUUGAAAUGAUUUACGACAUUUAUUCAUACGCCAUAUUUUGAAAGUACAAUUUUAUCGAGUUAAUAGUCACAAAAUACCCCUGGUCUUGGCAUUUCCAAAAUGUGGUCUGCCUUUUUUGUGCUCUCAAUAAUAUGAUUAACUUUGUUCAAAUUCAGACAUUUUUGGUCUGUUUAUCAAAAUUAAAAUCUGAACGAAAUUCUCAAUAUCUCCGGUAAUAUACAGCACUUAAAAAAGGCAGACCACAUUUUGGAGAUCUCAGGACCGGGAGAAGCUUCGUGCUUAUUGUUUCAAAAAUCAUACAUGUGAAGGAAGGUUGGCGAAUGAAUGUGUCCAAUGAAUCAAUAAAUUAAAGACGACUUUCAUAUCGUCUUGCUACUGUCAUAUGUUUCAUGGGACACCAGGAACAAUGCAGUUUCUAGGAGUUGGAUCACGCUAGUUUCAAAAGUUUUAAACAAUAAAACAAUAAUAAAAAUGAACUUUUAUGUUGUAUUGCCAUUGGAAAGAUCUUCAAUUUUUGUUGGUUGAUCUCAAUGAGGGUGUAAUUAUUUCCUAAAUUCAAAUAAAAUCAUUUUUAUUCUGAA